This 214-nucleotide unclassified non-coding RNA is filed under the name Hevea brasiliensis (rubber tree). The record is from RNAcentral. Lineage: Eukaryota; Viridiplantae; Streptophyta; Magnoliopsida; Malpighiales; Euphorbiaceae.
GCGUUCUGGUACUCACAGGGCAUAUCGACGUAAAGAAGUUCCUCCAAAGUACCACUAGCGUAUUUAAUUUGGAAAAGUCUGGGCAGAACCUCAACGGUUGUUUCAAAACCACGGCCAGGCUUGCGUUUGCAUAUUUCACAGUGCCAGAUAUCCUGAGGAAACACGCCGGUAGUCUGACGGCCACUUCCGUAAAGAGAAACACACCACCUUUUCU